AAGUCGUAACAAGGUUUCCGUAGGUGAACCUGCGGAAGGAUCAUUACCACAUUAUAAUCGGGGGGGAGACUUCGGUUUCCCCUGUCUGAACCCUUGUCUUUUGCGUACUAUCUGUUUCCUUGGUGGGCUUGCCCGCCGAUAGGACAACCAUUAAACCUUUUGUAAUUGCAAUCAGCGUCAGAAAAACAUAAUAAUUACAACUUUCAACAACGGAUCUCUUGGUUCUGGCAUCGAUGAAGAACGCAGCGAAAUGCGAAAAGUAGUGUGAAUUGCAGAAUUCAGUGAAUCAUCGAAUCUUUGAACGCACAUUGCGCCCCUUGGUAUUCCAUGGGGCAUGCCUGUUCGAGCGUCAUUUGUACCUUCAAGCUCUGCUUGGUGUUGGGUGUUUGUCCCGCUUUUUGCGUGGACUCGCCUCAAAGCAAUUGGCAGCCGGCGUACUAGCCUGGGAGCGCAGCACAUUUUGCGAAUCUCGACUGGAACGCUUGCGUCCAUUAAGCCUUUUUUUAACUCUUGACCUCGGAUCAGGUAGGGAUACUCGCUGAACUUAA
RNAcentral lists this ribosomal RNA (548 nucleotides) under uncultured Leptosphaeriaceae. Its description in RNAcentral is "eukaryotic LSU rRNA". The stretch from base 199 to 352 matches the Rfam family "5.8S ribosomal RNA". Lineage: Eukaryota; Fungi; Ascomycota; Dothideomycetes; Pleosporales; Leptosphaeriaceae. The record is from RNAcentral.